Cydia fagiglandana is the source of this 1958-nucleotide long non-coding RNA. RefSeq lists it as uncharacterized. Lineage: Eukaryota; Metazoa; Arthropoda; Insecta; Lepidoptera; Tortricidae. The record is from RefSeq and is a predicted model, not a curated record. The transcript has 2 exons.
UAACCUACAUUAUUUGAUCAUGUAAUGUUUUCAUCUACCCCUCAACUGGCUUAAGGAACCAUUUGAGGGUAGAUUUUUUUUACUUUUAUUUAAAUACCUAAAGAUACAGACUAUACAGGAUAUAAACAAACGGAUACGCCAUGUCUGUAAUUUUCGGUACAAAAAAGUCUGCCGAUUUUUGCGGGGGAGGGGCACGUCAAAUGUAUAGGUAUAGUUUGUAGCUUUCCAAUAGACCCCGAGCAAUAUUUGGCACCUGAGCGCGGGCUAGUUUAACGCUCAAAAAAGCAACUCUGUGUAGAUGCGCUCUCCGAUAACGCGCCUCUGUUACGCAUCAUAACGUAAAAAUAGCCAUGUCAGAUAAACGUCAGUCCAUACAAUGUGUAUAUAGCCGCCUAUUUUCGACAGAGGGGAACGCCUGUUAAUGACUACUCCAUUUGGUUAUAUCCUCUAAGUUUUUUGUGUCCAAUUUAAUGUGAUAAAUUUCUCAUUUUCCUUUUAUUUAACUAAAAUUUGUUAUAAUAUUCAACAUGUGUAGAAUAUAAUAAUUAUCCCAUUCCAAUUAUCUCAUUGCCACAUGUGUUAUCUAAUUAGGGGUCAUCCAUUAAAUACGUCACACGCUUAGGAGGAGGGGGUCAAGAAGUCACAAACUUCGUCACGUCACUUUAACUUCACUUUACGGAAGUGUUCUUUUUGUAUUCGCGGUACAGUCAACUGUAAAAAUAUGGGUGCAUAAAUCAUCUCAAACAUAUGUCCCACAGCUCUUAUGUCGGCGACUUAAGAACUAUGGAACAUAUUUUUACCCAUAAUUGUGGCCUGUAACCAUAUUUUUACAGUUGACUGUACAGCUCAAUAACUAGGUUUUGCAACGUUAUACCUUAUUUAUUUGUUAAGAGGAGACAUGAGCUGAGUUUCAAAUAUUUUAGGUAAAUAUACCCGUCUCGCUAACGGAAGCGGCAACUAAAAGUAGUGCGAUAAGGACAAGGCGAAAAAUCCUGCGUAAAAAUCUCAAGAAUCGAGGUUUCGUACUCCUCUGUUUCCUCCCCCAAAACUUAACCAAUCGUAACCAAAUUUGGAAAUCUAAAUGAUUAUGAAAUUAUCUGUGUCCAACCGUUUUGCUUUUUUGGCUAAUUGAUAUCAGUUUUGAAUGCCACGCCUCUCAUUGCGGCAUAGUCAAUUAGGCCAUUUUGGCCAUUUUUGAAGGGCUCUAGCGCCUUAAUAAACAAAAAUAUCAAAAAAAGCAAAACGGUCCGACACAGAUAUUGACAAUAUUAAUCUGUGUUGAAAAAAUCAUUGCUCUAGCUUCAAAAACCACGGAGGAAAACGAGGAGUACGUUUGUAUGGAGAAAUGACCACUCCUGUUGGCUCUUAACCUUUUCGACGCCGUGUCAAACAUAAAAGCAGUCACACGGACGCCACGUCACCGAUGUGUCAAAACUGAAAUUGAACUUUAUGCAUAUGCACGUAGGUCUAUGUUGCUCUGUGGUCUGUGACCGAUUAAUGCGUCUUUGGCGUUGUGGAUAUAUCGGUCAUUGGCGACCAAAAGGUUAAUUUUUAAUUCAUAAUCGGUUCCCUAUUAAACAAUUGCUGUUAUUAGAAUAUUUUUUAUCAAAAUAAUAAUACUUCAGUAGAAUUGCUAAUUUCGUUGAUAACAAUAUUGCCAAAUAUGUGUAGUCACACCAGGGGAGUGGGGGGUUGCCAAAUGUGACCAGGUGUGACAAGGAAGAGGGGAAGGGGUCAAAAAUCAUGAAAAUCGUGUGAUGUAAUUAUGGAUGACCCCUUAUCAGUGUCUUAUUUCAUUAGUAGUUAGACCAUUUGUAACUAAAUAAAGUACAAAUCGUUAUAACCCUUAAGGUAUCACAAUAAUGUACAUUUUAGUUGCUGUUUAUAGUGUAUAAGAUAAAUAUAUAUGCCUUGUUUAUUAUGUAAAAUAUAUUUAUAAUAAAGUACUAUAAUUGUAA